AACGAACGCUGGCGGCAUGCCUAACACAUGCAAGUCGAACGAGACCUUCGGGUGUAGUGGCGCACGCGUGCGUAACGCGUGGGAACCUGCCCUUAGGUUCGGAAUAACUCUCCGAAGGGGGUGCUAAUACCGGAAAAUGUCUUCGGACCAAAGAUUUAUCGCCUUUGGAUGGGCCCGCGUUGGAUUAGCUAUUUGCUAGGGUAAAAGCCUACCAAGGCUACGAUCCAUAGCUGGUCUGAGAGGAUGAUCAGCGACACUGAGACUAUGACGCGGCCCGGACUCCUACGGGAGGCGGCAGUGGGGGAUAUAGGACAAUGGGCGGAAGCAUGAUCCAGCAAUGCCGCGUGAGUGAUGAAGGCCUGAGGGUUGUAAAGCUCGUUUACCCGGGAUGAUAAUGACAGUACCGAGAGAAUAAGCUCCGGCUAACUCCGUG
This 433-nucleotide ribosomal RNA is filed under the name uncultured bacterium. RNAcentral's name for it is "partial 16S ribosomal RNA". It matches the Rfam family "Bacterial small subunit ribosomal RNA", at positions 29 to 507 of the family's 1533-position model. The record is from RNAcentral.